RNAcentral lists this long non-coding RNA (1673 nucleotides) under Mytilus galloprovincialis (Mediterranean mussel). Lineage: Eukaryota; Metazoa; Mollusca; Bivalvia; Mytilida; Mytilidae. The record is from RNAcentral.
UGGGUUUCGUCUUUUAUUUUGCAGUAAAGCAAUGAAAGGAAAUAUUUGAAUAGAUAUGACACAAAAAGAAGGACAUUGAUAUUGGUCAUGUUUAGAAUCAACACGUCAAAUAUCAGUUUCGUAAUUACCUAAAAGUCCAUAGUAUGAACAUACUUCUGUUCAUCUAAGCGUUAUAACAAAUCAUACAAUACCUAAUUCUAUUCUUUUCAAGCUCCUUUAUAUUUUUUCAUCCAAAAACACCUAUGCUCAUUGUGUAUAAAAUAUGAAAACCUUUCUUGAUAAGACUUUGAGAUUUAAAUCAACUUUGCAAAAUAUCCAGUAACACACCUCUGCUAAAAAUUGCACAUAUAAUAAACAAAUCAUUAAUUGACUACUUUGUCUGUUGCUCUAUUUAAAAAAAAACUGAUGAUUUGAAUACAAAUAGCAGUUUACCCGUCAUUAUUUCAACAUUUACAAGACAUAGAUAUGUUAUGGGAUUUUAUUGUUUCCCAAAUGUUUAUAGAAUUAUUCACACUCUUUAAAUUAUUUAGAUAGAAAAGAUAACAUGGCUGAGCUUUAAGAUUGCGUUUCACAGGACUUAUAUAACAGUUUGGCAUUGAAAUUCUCAAUUGUGAGAGCAAAGAUAAAAAUCCACUACCAUAAACAUCCUCCAACCAUAGAAACGGGACUUUCGUUGAAGCGUUGUACAUUUUCCGUACGAUAUCCAUUGACAUGAUUGAACUGUGUCCGGCACAGUAUGGAAGGAAUUUCAAAAAUGGAUAUUCUUCCACUGAAAUAUACCAUUUGUGUCGACGACGACGUUGAGGCUUAUUACGUGUAAUCAUUUUACAUUCCAAAAUAUUUGAUGUAGAAUUGUUGUCCACUUUCUUUAAGAGAUAAGGAAUCAAACGGGGAACGUUGAUUGUAAUAUCUUCAUCCAUUUUUAUAACAAAUUUUGCAUUGUUACAGAACUUAUUGACCCAAAACAAACUAAAGACAAGUUUGUAUGUUAGGUUUCUGUAUGAAUCUAUAAAAUUCCCUUGCACUUUGUUGCUCUUUGUAUAUUUCACUUUCACGUUUGAUAUUCCGUUGAAGUGUUUCAUUUUUCGUCUGUCCAAGCACGAAAACAUAUUCUAUGAGUUUUUUGUCAAAAUUAGAAAUGGAUCCAAAGGUCGAACGAAUCAAAUGACGUCCUUCAAAGUUUGAUGUUGUUAUAUGAACAAAUACUAAAAGAAAUACAUCUUUUUCAUAACAUUUGAAAACAUUGUUGAGCAAAGGAAUGUAUCGAUGUUGAUGAAUGAAGGGGUCAUUCAAUUGAUCCGCCGAUGCGUUUACAUAGAAGCUCCUGAAAUUAUCGGUGAUCACUUUAUCUCUUAUUAUUUUUUCUUUUUGUGUAAUAUUAAACAAUGAUAUUUCCACUUUAGUCCGAUCCUUUUGUAUAAUAGUAACCUGUUGAACAGUAACAGUUGAUGGCAGCGUUAUAAUUUUGUUAUCAAUUUGAAUAUCUUUAUAUCUUUCUUCUAUUUGUUUCUGGUCUGUUGGAUGAGAUGUUGAACACACACACACAAUGUUUUGGCUGUAGUAACUUGUAACUAUGAUCCAUGAGACAAUGGUAAACACAUAUAUCACAAGUAUUUUUUUUUUAUCAACUUCAUAGUUACUAAAAUUCAUUCAUUGUCGGAAAUAUAAUAUGA